UGAGCUGCUGGAUUUCUCAAGAGACUUAUCCGGCCGGCUACAGACCCUUUAGACCCAAUAAUAACGGUUACCACUCGAGCCGCCGGUGUUACCGCGGCGGCUGGCACCGGUCUUGCCCGGCCCUUGCUAUGCAAUGCUUUUUAGGCAUCACGACAGCCAGAUUUGUAACCUGGCACUCGAGGUCCCCUUAUCGCCGUUGCCGGCAUUGUAAAGUUUUCGCGCCUGCUGCACCCCGUAGGGCCUGGAUUCGUGUCUCAGAAUCCAUCUCCGGGCUCUUGCUCUCACAACCCGUACCCGUCGUAGGCUAGUAGGUACGCUACACCCACUACUACCUGAUAGGCCGCAGACCCAUCCUCUGGCGCCGGAGCUUUCGAUCUCGGGGCAUUCCAGCGACCGAGAUCUAUCGGGGAUUAUACCCAGUUUCCCGGGUUUAUACCCGUCCGGAGGGUAGUUUGUCCACGUGUUACUGAGCAGUACGCCAUGUAUU
This 487-nucleotide ribosomal RNA is filed under the name uncultured archaeon. RNAcentral describes it as "partial 16S ribosomal RNA". The record is from RNAcentral.